Molecule: transfer RNA, 75 nt
Filed under: Deltaproteobacteria bacterium
Lineage: Bacteria; Pseudomonadati; Myxococcota; Myxococcia
Description: tRNA-Gln
Rfam family: tRNA
About the family: Transfer RNA (tRNA) molecules are approximately 80 nucleotides in length. Their secondary structure includes four short double-helical elements and three loops (D, anti-codon, and T loops).
Source: RNAcentral
UCGCGUAUCGUUCAAUGGUGAGGACGUCUGGCUUUGACCCAGAAGAUGAAGGUUCGAAUCCUUCUACGCGAGCAA